UUCCCUUCACGAUAACACAUC
Molecule: non-coding RNA, 21 nt
Filed under: Caenorhabditis elegans
Lineage: Eukaryota; Metazoa; Nematoda; Chromadorea; Rhabditida; Rhabditidae
Source: RNAcentral